CUAGCUCCUCUCUCCCGUGGUUGAGCAGAUGUUGUUGCAUUGUACUGUUCAGUUGGCCUGCAAACUUGGUGAGACAGCAAAUAAUGGAAAAUUGAGAACAGUACAUGAAGUCAAUUCUGAGAAUGAUUUUUUUUUUACCUUUAUUUAUAUAGCGCUUUUAACAAUACAGAUUGUGUCAAAGCAACUCUUAAUUAUUAAUUAUUGAUUAAUAUCCAAUUGUGUCUGUUUGGGUUUGCUUACAUGUGUAGUAUCUGGGGAGCUGCCUCUAGUGUCCUCAGCCGAGGGUAACAAGAGACUCGCUCUUCUGGAAAAGUUUGUAGUUCUGUGGGCUCAGACUCCCUCUCCACCUCUGCACCUUCUCCUCAGUGAACCCACUUUGACUGCUAUUUUUAGUGCCACAGAUAGUGAGAGGACUGACUACCUGUUCCUGAUAAGACAGCUAAUAGAGAGGGGUCUUUUAGGAGAGGAGGAUUUGGGCACCAACUGGCCAAAGUUGUCAGCGUUAUCUUGGCCAGAGGUAAUCGCUUCUUACAUGUUAUGUGUUUUAGAGAUAGCAAAACAUUACAUUCUGAUUCUGGAGUUCUCACAGAUCACUGUCUGAUAGCUUUUCUCAUUUGCUCUUGUAGGAGUCUUCACUGCCUUCACUGCCAAACCACAGGGACAUACUGCAGGUCUCUCAAUGACCACUAGGGGGACGCAUGAGUCUACAUUACCAACUGUACACAUGAAUCCCAGCCAAACACUAUUGUAUUAACAGCAGUGAUGCAUAUUUGAAGAAAAGAAAUAAUGUUUAAACCUACAAAAUAUAGGAUUUAAAAAAUAUUUUAAAGUCUGAUUUAUUGUUAGUUGCAAGGAGAAUAUUUGCUGCUGAAGAAUGUUGAGUUGAUAAGAUUGUUAUUGACAGUUUAUAAACCUUUAAAACACAUUUUGUGGGGACAUUUUAGCAGGGCUUUGCCAGUUUUCACUUAUACUGCCUCACAAUAGAACAGGAUAAAGACCAUUCACUGUGCUGUUUAUUUGUUUUAAGUGUGUGUAAAUGUUUUUUUGCUUGUUUGUUGGUGAGUAUGUCUGUCUGUAUGUUUCUUAGUAUAUAUUUGCGGA
RNAcentral lists this long non-coding RNA (1101 nucleotides) under Sinocyclocheilus anshuiensis. RNAcentral's name for it is "lncRNA (ENSSANG00000025756.1)". Lineage: Eukaryota; Metazoa; Chordata; Actinopteri; Cypriniformes; Cyprinidae. The record is from RNAcentral.